GUUUUAAUGACCUAAAUAUAUCUUUAUUAUUAUGUUAAAAUUAAACAAAUCCGUAAUAAGAUGUGUUACAGUAAAUAGGUCAUGAAAUAUUUAUGGUAAAUUACCAUUUUUUCUAAUAACAGAAAUUUUAUCAUAUAUUUUAACUGCAUAUUUUUAACAUUAAGCUAUUUGGCAACGUCGCUAAAGCUUUACCCCCCCCACCCGGCAAUAUGACUUGGAACCUAGCAACCAGUGAGGUCAACAAACGAGGUCAAAUUGCAAUUUACCUGUGCAAGAAAAAUCAGUAAAUAACAUUAAUUGGAUGAAGUAUCAAAUUGGUUUUCAUUUCACUUAAAUCAAGUUAAUUAAACGGAAUAAAAAUAUCCUAAUAACGGGUAGUACCACUUUUAAGAUUUAAUUUAGUUUAAAUAAUGUAAAUUUGGCAAAUAUUCCAGAUAAAAAGUAUAAUUUUGAAAGGAAUGAUAAAUUGUUUUAACAAUGAAUAUUGUUAUCAAUCAUAAUUAUCACAUUCUUUUAUUUUAUUAUAAUACAAUUGAUGAUGUAUUGUACAGCAUGAAUUGCAUUAGUCAAAAAUAAAAGAAAAGAAUAGAAUUCUGUGUAACGUGGCAGAACUAAAGAAAUGGAUGGAGGCAUCCCCUGUGUUGCCAAGUAUACCAUUAUAUCCACUUCUUUCUCUUGUAAAUAUUCUUGAUAGGGGUAAAGCUGACAUGUGUAGUCAGUAAUAACAGUAACAAAAAUGAAUAGCAAUUUCGUAGAAAGAUUUGAGUAAUAUCACAAAUUUCAUCCAACUUUAAAAAUACAAAUUAUCUUAUUGAUAACACCUAGAUCAGGUUUGUAAGAUGCUACAAGUUAACUGAAGCUUUUACCGAUGUCUCUUUUUCUGCUCCUACUACACAUACAAUGAGUAUAACUUGAAUAAGCCUCGUUAAAAGAGGAUCGAGCUUAGAAAGUUGUGCGCAACUCGCAGUGAAACUAGAUUUGUGGGAGGUAGUAAUGGAGAGGGAGGAGUAGUCAGAGAUGUUGGGUCAACGAACGUAUCCAAGUAUCCCCUUUCUCCUUGCAUCAAGUUAAGCCGCUACUAUAUCGUGGUGAACUCGUCUUCUCCAUAAAAGCGGUUACCUUUCUGCGCAUACUAGUACGACUACAGCGCAUACUAGUAGAAAUAUCUAACCAAAGGACAGAGAUUUCAUGGUAGGGAUGAAAUCAAUAGUUAAGUAUUUCCUGAAAUGGGAAUAUUAAUCUACAUUUAACUAUUUCAUUGCUUGCUUCAAUUUUAUUCGCCGCGAAUAAAGUGGUAAAAAUAUACUCCAAAUAAAUAUUGAAAAAAAUCAACAAUUGGCUCAUUAAAUUACUUAACUAUUUCAAGGUCACAAUACUCAACAUUGACGUUAACAAGCUGGAAAUGAUAAAAAAAAGUAUUACUAUGUUAUUGAAUUUUGGGUUAACAUAGGCUAAUAAAACAAUAUGAAGUUUCGCAAGCUAAAUAUAGGAUUUCAAAGUUGAAUUGGUAUACGUUUUGAUAUUUGAUUUUCAAUGGAAAAGCUAUACCCGGAAAACUUCUUAUCGACGCUUCUUCCCCUGAAUGAAGUAUGAGGAUAAAACACAACACAAGAGGUUAAAACCUGAAAAGAUACAUUAUAUUUCAAUUCCGUGUUAUAUAUGUAGCUACAACAAGAAUAAAAUGGUUUUAAAACAAAAGUCUCGAACAAUGACUAUAAAAUCUAUUUUCUAAAUUUAUGUAUAAUUUCAAUGUAUGAAGUUGAAAUGUUACAUGUGUAUAACACUACCAUGAUGUUGACGAUAUCGGUACGUUAACUAUAAAUAAUUAUGGCUGCAGAGCUUUUAGAUGCAAUGGUUGACAGGUGGCAAUUGGAUAGUUAACGUUGACGAUUUUGUUGGAGAAUUACAAGGACUGAGGGAAACCGUAGAACAUUGGAGGGGUGGUAAAGAGAAUGAAGGAAAAUUGGGAGGGAUAGAAGUUAGAACAAGGAUAACAGGAAAAAAAAAAGAAAAUAAGAGAAUUAGUUGGUGGAAAUGGGUGAGAAAGAGAUGUUCGUUCACAAGGGAACAGAAGGAAAAGGAAAAGAAAAAGGGGUAAAGAAGAGAAAGAGAGAAAGGGGGGGAGAGAGAGACAGAGCAGAGUUGUACGGUGAUGUUCGAGCUGCGCCUGCGCCGACAAUACUUGCUAUGAGCGGAUUGGCUCCCUACUCAUACUUGAGUGCACGUUAGGUUGACUUAAUUUCAAUUUGGCCUCCUUCUCUACUUCCUCCCUCUCCAACAAAUCCGGCAUACGUAUGUAUAUCCCUGUCGAUUACUUUUGUUUUAUUGGGUUCUGCCUGAAGGGCGUUUGCUGUGUAUAUUUCUUGUAUAACUAAAAACCAUGCGCCAAGAGUGAACCCUUCGAUCUUUGAUAAAGGAAAUGCAACGUUGGAAGUAAAAUAGUUCGAAAGAAA
Osmia lignaria (orchard mason bee) is the source of this 2453-nucleotide long non-coding RNA. RefSeq lists it as uncharacterized. Lineage: Eukaryota; Metazoa; Arthropoda; Insecta; Hymenoptera; Megachilidae. The record is from RefSeq and is a predicted model, not a curated record.